Molecule: ribosomal RNA, 507 nt
Filed under: Dysdera sanborondon
Lineage: Eukaryota; Metazoa; Arthropoda; Arachnida; Araneae; Dysderidae
Description: partial 16S ribosomal RNA
Rfam family: Bacterial large subunit ribosomal RNA
Source: RNAcentral
AUACUGAGUAUUCCUGCUCAGUGAUAUCNAAACCGCCGCAGAAUUUUAUACUGUGCUAAGGUAGCAUAAUCACUUGUCUUCUAAUUAAAGAAUAGAAUGAACGGAAAAACGAAUUUUAGACUGUUUCAUUUUUAGUCAAUAAAAUUACCAAAAAGUAAAAACACUUUUUCAAAAAAAAAAGACGAUAAGACCCUAAAGAACUUUACUAAAGUUAAGCUGGGGCGGCAAUUUAAAAAAAUCUUAACUUACAAUUUUUCCAUCCUACUUAUAUAAUACAAUGUUACCUUAGGGAUAACAGCAUAAUUUAAUUUUACAGCUCUUAUUAAAAAUUAAGAUUAUGACCUCGAUGUUGAAUUAAAAUUCUACCUAACGAAAAAAAUUAGUAAGAAAGUCUGUUCGACUUACAAAUAUUUACAUGAUUUGAGUUCAGACCGGUGUAAACCAGGUCGGUUUCUAUCUUUUUUAAAAAUGCAUCAGUACGAAGGGACCAUAUAAUUUAUUAACAAU